UACGUAGGCAGCAAGCGUUUGUUCGGAGUUACUGGGCGUAAAGGGUGUGUAGGCGGUUCCUUAAGUUUGCUGUGAAAUCUCCCGGCUUAACCGGGAGGGUGCGGUGAAUACUGAGGGACUAGAGUACGGGAGAGGAAAGUGGAAUUCCUGGUGUAGCGGUGAAAUGCGUAGAUAUCAGGAGGAACACCGGUGGUGUAGACGGCUCUCUGGACCGUAACUGACGCUGAGACACGAAAGCGUGGGUAGCAAACAGG
RNAcentral lists this ribosomal RNA (254 nucleotides) under uncultured bacterium. Its description in RNAcentral is "partial 16S ribosomal RNA". It matches the Rfam family "Bacterial small subunit ribosomal RNA", at positions 524 to 776 of the family's 1533-position model. The record is from RNAcentral.